GUCGCAGGCGGCAGGGCGACCGAACGCUCGCGGCUCUGCGGUGCGACUACGCUCGAGGAAAACAAGGAGGCUUGCCGGUUACCAGCAAGCAUUCGUGCCUCACGCAAUGCCAGCUGUUAAUCAUUCAUUAAAGCCUACAAUGCUGCCUAGACUACACUUUUGCCCCAUUAGGCAGUAGUGACGAAAUUCGUCGCAUCUUCGAAUGAAAUACUAAAAGGCAGAGGGCUACAUAAGGAAAGAGACAGAUGAAUAAAAAAACAUUACAAUAAAAGGAAAAUCCUAGACAUUGUCAUCGAAAAAUGGUGAUGUGUUUAUAACAUAAUUUUUCUACGUCUAUGGCGGACGU
Molecule: long non-coding RNA, 346 nt
Organism: Ostrinia furnacalis (Asian corn borer)
Lineage: Eukaryota; Metazoa; Arthropoda; Insecta; Lepidoptera; Crambidae
Exons: 3
Source: RefSeq, a predicted model, not a curated record